This 273-nucleotide ribosomal RNA is filed under the name uncultured bacterium. Its description in RNAcentral is "partial 16S ribosomal RNA". It matches the Rfam family "Bacterial small subunit ribosomal RNA", at positions 524 to 796 of the family's 1533-position model. The record is from RNAcentral.
UACGUAGGGUCCGAGCGUUGUCCGGAGUUACUGGGCGUAAAGCGCGCGCAGGCGGCGGUGCUGGCCCGGCGUGAAAGCCCCCGGCUCAACCGGGGAGGGUCGUCGGGGACCGCACCGCUUGAGGGCGGUAGGGGCUGGUGGAAUGCCUGGUGUAGUGGUGAAAUGCGUAGAGAUCAGGCAGAACACCCGUGGCGAAGGCGGCCAGCUGGGCCGACCCUGACGCUGAGGCGCGAAGGCGUGGGGAGCGAACGGGAUUAGAAACCCGCGUAGUCC